UAAUACCAGCACCCCGAGUUGUCGGGACGAUUAUUGGGCCUAAAGCAUCCGUAGCCUGUUCUGCAAGUCCUCCGUUAAAUCCACCUGCUCAACGGAUGGGCUGCGGAGGAUACCGCAGAGCUAGGAGGCGGGAGAGGCAAACGGUACUCAGUGGGUAGGGGUAAAAUCCAUUGAUCUACUGAAGACCACCAGUGGCGAAGGCGG
RNAcentral lists this ribosomal RNA (204 nucleotides) under uncultured ammonia-oxidizing archaeon. RNAcentral's name for it is "partial 16S ribosomal RNA". It matches the Rfam family "Archaeal small subunit ribosomal RNA", at positions 471 to 675 of the family's 1478-position model. The record is from RNAcentral.